UGUCGAUACCUGWCCAAAACAGAACGACCCGCGAACCAACGAUCACCACUCUCGGUGGGCUGGUUUCUUAACCGAUCCCGUGCCCGCCGGAUCCGUGGUUUCGCGUAUCGCCCUGGUCGGGAGCUUUAUCUCGGUCUUGUCGUGCGCGUUGCUUCCGGAUAUCACAAAACCCCGGCACGAAAAGUGUCAAGGAACAAGCAAACGAGCGGCUGGCAUUCGCCUCCCCGGAGACGGUUUGUGCGCGGAUGCUGUGCUGCGAUAUAAAGUCUAAAACGACUCUCGGCAACGGAUAUCUCGGCUCUCGCAUCGAUGAAGAACGUAGCGAAAUGCGAUACUUGGUGUGAAUUGCAGAAUCCCGUGAACCAUCGAGUCUUUGAACGCAAGUUGCGCCCCAAGCCUUCUGGCCGAGGGCACGUCUGCCUGGGUGUCACAAAUCGUCGUCCUCCAUAUUCCUUUGUGGAUGCGGGACGGAAGCUGGUCUCCCGUGUGUUACCGCACGCGGUUGGCCUAAAUCCGAGCCAAGGACGCCUGGAGCGUCCCGACAUGCGGUGGUGAACAUGAUCCAUUUGAUAUUGUCGGUCGCUCCUGUCCGGAAGCUGUAGAUGACCCAAAGUCCUUUAAGCGACCCCAGGUCAGGCGGGAUUACCCGUC
RNAcentral lists this unclassified non-coding RNA (651 nucleotides) under Arabidopsis croatica. RNAcentral describes it as "sequence contains ITS1, 5.8S rRNA gene and ITS2". The stretch from base 275 to 430 matches the Rfam family "5.8S ribosomal RNA". The record is from RNAcentral. Lineage: Eukaryota; Viridiplantae; Streptophyta; Magnoliopsida; Brassicales; Brassicaceae.